This is a long non-coding RNA of Melitaea cinxia (Glanville fritillary), 760 nucleotides long. RefSeq lists it as uncharacterized. The transcript is spliced from 2 exons. NCBI's taxonomy places the organism in Eukaryota, Metazoa, Arthropoda, Insecta, Lepidoptera, Nymphalidae. The record is from RefSeq and is a predicted model, not a curated record.
GCAAAGAUUUAACGUAAUAGUAUUUACUCGUAUAUCACACCAACAUUGACUAUACAAAAUUUUUCAAGCUAUACCAUUUUAUAGUCAAGAGAUUAGAAGAGAGAUAGCGUAUUAAAAAUGUUACAGGUUUAAUUUGCAGGAACUUAUAUCGCGUUAGCCUUAUGGUUAAAUAAGCAUAUCUAAAUAUAAGGUUGCAUUCUUUUAAAUCAGAAGUGCCAUUAGGGUUGACUCAUAAUAGUUAUUCUUGCAAAAGCUGUAUAACUACAAUUUGAAAUGUUUUCGAUAACUUUAAAAAUUCUUUAGCAUAAGUAACAAUUUUAGUUCUCUAAACAUUGUGUAGAAGUUGUAAUUCACACCUGAUCGUGAUCUUUACUCAUAGUAGGGAAUAUAUUGGCAAACAAUAAAAAAAAAAGAACUGUUUUCUUUUUCAUUUUCUUUAUAUUUUGUACACGUUGAAUAAAAAUGUACUGUAAUUUAAUAGUUUUAUUAUUAUUUUAUAUUAUAAAUAUAAUUGUGAGCGAAUGAUGUCCGAUUUGAAUGUGUAAGUUAUCAACGACAUUGAUUUUGUAAAACAAAACUGUAACUACCCUCCUUGAUAUUGUUUUGGUAUCACAUAUACUUUUCAUCGAGGGUGUAUUUUGAAAUUUAUUUACUAUUUAUAGUAUUAGUUAACUUUAGCCAUUAUAUCAAUUCCAAAAAGCGUUAUGCUGGCUUUGUGAUGACUAUCAUUGUAUUUUAUGAAAUAUAUUUCCUAAAUAUA